CCCUUAGAUGUUCUGGGCCGCACGCGCGCUACACUGAUGCAUUCAACGAGUUUCUUCCUGGUCCGAGAGGAAUGGGUAACCUUUUGAAAGUGCAACGUGAUAGGGAUAGACUAUUGCAAUUAUUGGUCUUCAACGAGGAAUUCCUAGUAGACGUAGUUCAUCAGACUGCAUCGAUUACGUCCCUGCCCUUUGUACACACCGCCCGUCGCUCCUACCGAUUGAAUGCUCAGGUGAGCCAUUCGGACUUUCAUCAUGCUGGUUUCCAGUUUUGAUGAAGGAAAGUCUUGCGAACCUUAUCAUUUAGAGGAAGGAGAAGUCGUAACA
Molecule: ribosomal RNA, 324 nt
Filed under: uncultured eukaryote
Lineage: Eukaryota
Description: partial 18S ribosomal RNA
Rfam family: Eukaryotic small subunit ribosomal RNA
Source: RNAcentral